Sinocyclocheilus anshuiensis is the source of this 1228-nucleotide long non-coding RNA. NCBI's taxonomy places the organism in Eukaryota, Metazoa, Chordata, Actinopteri, Cypriniformes, Cyprinidae. The record is from Ensembl.
CUAAAAUGGAAAAAAACUCUUAAGAUAACCUGUAGAAAGAAAAAACACACAAUUGCGCGUUUGAAUGAUUGCGUAAUUUUGGCAUUAGUAAUUGUAAUCACGAUUAGAAAUUCAAUUAGUUGUGAAGCCCUAUACUUCAGUAAAAACUAUUUCAAAACGGCUUUUGUCAAACUACAACGCUGUGUCGAACAACGUGCAUAAUUCAACACAACAGCAGCAUUGAGUGUCCUAAUGUCCUCUGCAGGUCUCCGGAGCUGUUUGUCUGGUCAGUGGAACUGUGGACUGUGGCAUAAUGAAGGCCUGCGCUGCAAACAGCAUGCUGUUAGCACAGGCUCGAUGCUCGGCCCCCACNCACACUCUUUCUGCCCAGCGACACACACCUUUGGAUCGACUACAUGUCUUCAGAGCGUUAAACGUGCAUUCAUAGUGUGAGAGUCAUGUGUGAGCUAAAGGCACUACAAUUAAUUUUUAUGCUGAAGCUUUUUUCUUUUCUUUUUUUUUGAUCAGGGUUCUUUUUGUAGCAAGUGCUUUCAGCUGAAAUUGAAUGGAAUGUUCCAUGUUUCUCAAGGGCAACUGUGAUGUUUUCUUAACGUACAUGUCUUUUAAUGACCUUUAACAUGAUUAUUUGUUUGCACUGGUGUAGACUGUACUGUACUCGGGGUGUUGGACUUUUUUAAUUAGUGGGAAUGUUUGCGUACUGCAGAAACAUGCAGUUUUGUUAGAGUGAGCUAGAUGACUUUUUUUUUUUUUAUGCUUGAAAUUGUAAUUUUUUUUUGUCGUUUGUCACAGGUUUGCUGGUUAGAUUCAUAAGUACAGCAUGUGCUUGUGGAGGGAAUUAAGGCCAGAUCUUCCUCUCUUCUGCUUAAACUUUAACCGAAUACAUUAGCACUGCCAGAGUAAUCUGUGAAAUCAGCGUAACCCUUCAGAUUGCUGCAGUCGUCUUGAUGGUGUGAUUGAGAGUGUUGCAUAUCAGAAGAUGUGAAUGGUAUUUCCAAAGAUUCCCGCUAUUUUUCCAGCUCUCCAUAUAGAUGUGACGGUAAGCAGUGUACCCCUUACGUUUUAGUGUACCUCUCUGUGAAUUUGUAACAAAAGUGAUACUAAUAGUAGUGAUUAAGUUGCAUCGAGAGAAGACAUUUUACUUUUAUUUCACAGUGAUGUAAAAUAAAGUUUAAAAUAUGAAGAAAAAAAAAGUUGUGAUUGUGAGUUGUUCCUAAUCUAUUUUCAUGUC